GGCCAGACUCCUACGGGAGGCAGCAGUGGGGAAUAUUGCACAAUGGGGGAAACCCUGAUGCAGCGACGCCGCGUGAGCGAAGAAGUAUUUCGGUAUGUAAAGCUCUAUCAGCAGGGAAGAAAUUGACGGUACCUGAGUAAGAAGCUCCGGCUAAAUACGUGCCAGCAGCCGCGGUAAUACGUAGGGGGCAAGCGUUAUCCGGAUUUACUGGGUGUAAAGGGAGCGUAGACGGCGAUGCAAGUCUGAAGUGAAGGGCGGGGGCCCAACCCCCGGACUGCUUUGGAAACUGUAUAGCUGGAGUGCAGGAGAGGUAAGUGGAAUUCCUAGUGUAGCGGUGAAAUGCGUAGAUAUUAGGAGGAACACCAGUGGCGAAGGCGGCUUACUGGACUGUAACUGACGUUGAGGCUCGAAAGCGUGGGGAGCAAACAGGAUUAGAUACCCUCGUAAC
RNAcentral lists this ribosomal RNA (448 nucleotides) under uncultured bacterium. Its description in RNAcentral is "partial 16S ribosomal RNA". It matches the Rfam family "Bacterial small subunit ribosomal RNA", at positions 329 to 794 of the family's 1533-position model. The record is from RNAcentral.